AAAUGUGAGGGCGAUCUGGCUGCGACAUCUGUCACCCCAUUGAUUGCCCGGGUUAAUUCGGCUGAUCUGGCCGGCUAGGCGGGUGUCCCCUCCCUCCCUCACCACUCCAUGUGCUUCUCUCCCAAAGCUGCACACUCGGUGGAAGAGGAUGACCAUCCCAGAUAGAAGGAGUGUACUGUUCUUCGGUCAAGUGUACAGUAUACAAUAGCUGUGCUCCCCUGCAUAGAACCUCCAAGCAAGACCAUGUCCCCUUUUGAGAUGGAUCCACUAUUAAGAGCUAAAGAGCUGAACUGGGCCAGAGCAAGGGUCCGUCUGGCCCAGU
This is a non-coding RNA of Podarcis lilfordi (Lilford's wall lizard), 322 nucleotides long. Lineage: Eukaryota; Metazoa; Chordata; Lepidosauria; Squamata; Lacertidae. The record is from the annotation of a GenBank genome assembly.